GACGAACGCUGGCGGCAUGCCUAACACACGCAAGUCGAGCGAGUAGAUCCCUUCGGGGUGAAGCUAGCGGCGGACGGGUGAGUAACACGUGGGCAACCUGCCUCAUAGAGGGGGAUAGCCUUCCGAAAGGAAGAUUAAUACCGCAUAAGAUUGUAGCUUCGCAUGAAGCAGCAAUUAAAGGAGUAAUCCGCUAUGAGAUGGGCCCGCGGCGCAUUAGCUAGUUGGUGAGGUAACGGCUCACCAAGGCGACGAUGCGUAGCCGACCUGAGAGGGUGAUCGGCCACAUUGGGACUGAGACACGGCCCAGACUCCUACGGGAGGCAGCAGUGGGGAAUAUUGCACAAUGGGGGAAACCCUGAUGCAGCAAUGCCGCGUGAGUGAUGACGGCCUUCGGGUUGUAAAGCUCUGUCUUCGGGGACGAUAAUGACGGUACCCGAGGAGGAAGCCACGGCUAACUACGUGCCAGCCGCCGCCGUAA
Molecule: ribosomal RNA, 478 nt
Filed under: uncultured bacterium
Lineage: Bacteria
Description: partial 16S ribosomal RNA
Rfam family: Bacterial small subunit ribosomal RNA
Source: RNAcentral